GACGAACGCUGGCGGCGUGCUUAACACAUGCAAGUCGAACGGUGAAGGGACUGGCUUUGCUGGUCCUGGAUGAGUGGCGAACGGGUGAGUAACACGUGAGUAACCUGCCCCCUUCUUCUGGAUAACCGCAUGAAAGUGUGGCUAAUACGGGAUAUUCUGGGUCUGUCGCAUGGUGGGCCUGGGAAAGGUUUUUUCCGGUGGGGGAUGGGCUCGCGGCCUAUCAGCUUGUUGGUGGGGUGAUGGCCUACCAAGGCGGUGACGGGUAGCCGGCCUGAGAGGGUGGACGGUCACACUGGGACUGAGACACGGCCCAGACUCCUACGGGAGGCAGCAGUGGGGAAUAUUGCACAAUGGGCGCAAGCCUGAUGCAGCGACGCCGCGUGAGGGAUGGAGGCCUUCGGGUUGUGAACCUCUUUCGCCAGUGAAGCAGGCCUGCUCCUUUUUUUUGGGUGGG
Molecule: ribosomal RNA, 454 nt
Filed under: Actinomyces sp. oral taxon E63
Lineage: Bacteria; Bacillati; Actinomycetota; Actinomycetes; Actinomycetales; Actinomycetaceae
Description: bacterial SSU rRNA
Rfam family: Bacterial small subunit ribosomal RNA
Source: RNAcentral